This 440-nucleotide ribosomal RNA is filed under the name uncultured bacterium. RNAcentral's name for it is "bacterial SSU rRNA". It matches the Rfam family "Bacterial small subunit ribosomal RNA", at positions 338 to 768 of the family's 1533-position model. The record is from RNAcentral.
CCUACGGGAGGCUGCAGUGGGGAAUUUUUCGCAAUGGGCGCAAGCCUGACGAAGCAACGCCGCGUGGAGGAUGAAGGCCCUAGUGGUCGUAAACUCCUGUCUAGCGGGACGAAACUCACCAAUGCAAAUAGCGUUGGUGAUUGACUGUACCGCUGGAGGAAGCUCCGGCCAACUCCGUGCCAGCAGCCGCGGUAAUACGGAGGGAGCAAGCGUUACUCGGAAUUACUGGGCGUAAAGGGCUCGUAGGCGGCCAACUAAGUCAGACGUGAAAUCCCCAGGCUCAACCUGGGAACUGCGUCUGAUACUGGUUGGCUUGAAUCCGGGAGAGGGAUGCAGAAUUCCAGGUGUAGCGGUGAAAUGCGUAGAUAUCUGGAGGAAUACCGGUGGCGAAGGCGGCAUCCUGGACCGGCAUUGACGCUGAGGAGCGAAAGCCAGGGGAG